This 253-nucleotide ribosomal RNA is filed under the name uncultured bacterium. Its description in RNAcentral is "partial 16S ribosomal RNA". It matches the Rfam family "Bacterial small subunit ribosomal RNA", at positions 524 to 776 of the family's 1533-position model. The record is from RNAcentral.
UACGGAGGGUGCAAGCGUUGUCCGGAAUCACUGGGCGUAAAGGGCGCGUAGGCGGCUCGGUAAGUAGGGGGUGAAAUCCUGCGGCUUAACCGCAGGGCUGCCUUCUAAACUGUCGAGCUUGAGCACGGUAGAGGCAGAUGGAAUUCCCGGUGUAGCGGUGGGAUGCGUAGAGAUCGGGAAGAACAUCAGUGGCGAAGGCGGUCUGCUGGGCCGUUGCUGACGCUGAGGCGCGACAGCGUGGGGAGCAAACAGG